UUUAUCAACCUUUGUUUCGUAGCCCCCGUACAUUCUGAUACACAAGGGAGAGAAAAGAAUGACUAAUUGAUAAUGAGUGAUAUAAAAAGGUGUUCUAAGAAGGUGCAAUAAAGUACAAGAAUGGGUUUGGUUUUUGUAUGUUUUGCCGUUUUUCUUUUAGGUAGAAGUUGCGCACCUACUAAUUAUGAAAAAAAUCCCGCUCAACAAUGGUUUAGAACUCUAUCACGAAAUGGGUGGAGAGGUGUUCAAAAGGUUCCUGUUCAAGAAUGGUUUAGAAAACAAGUACAAAAUCCUUCAAGAGAUGCUCAAGACGCACCGAAUACUGUUGACGAAGAGUUUACAGAUGAAGCACGAGGCCCAGAUGAUGGAAUCCCGUCUCUUCGAAAUACUUCUAAUUUAUAUUUAGGCGGUUUUCAGCUUUUACAGCUACGCAUACCUCAGAUUGGUGAUAUCAUUGAAAUAAUUCGAAAUUUCGUCAAGCUGGCUGCUCAAACCUUUAAUGCCGUGGCACCUUUGCUCUCACGUGGUUUGAAACUACUUUUAAAAACGUUUAUUCCGGAAAUUGGUGAUGUUGUUAAAGGAGUAGGCAAUUUAGCUUCAUUGGCACAAACUGGGGCAAGUAAUUUAUUACCAAAAGGUGUACCUUUGCUUUCAUAGGGUUUAUAAGAACGAUACAAUUAGUACGACAUAAGUACCUAAGAUUUGUAUUUGAAAAAUAAAUCCAGUCACUAUCAUAAAA
Molecule: long non-coding RNA, 739 nt
Organism: Zophobas morio
Lineage: Eukaryota; Metazoa; Arthropoda; Insecta; Coleoptera; Tenebrionidae
Exons: 2
Source: RefSeq, a predicted model, not a curated record